This 111-nucleotide non-coding RNA is filed under the name Anopheles minimus. RNAcentral describes it as "eukaryotic large subunit ribosomal RNA". It matches the Rfam family "Eukaryotic large subunit ribosomal RNA", at positions 828 to 938 of the family's 3401-position model. The record is from RNAcentral. Lineage: Eukaryota; Metazoa; Arthropoda; Insecta; Diptera; Culicidae.
GAGUUAUACUUGAUCAUGUUGCAGUCAGGGGAAACCCUGAUAAAGGAACGAAGCAAUUCUGACGAGCAAAUAGAUUAUCAGUGUUGGGGACAGGAGCGAACGACCAACCUA